RNAcentral lists this long non-coding RNA (4126 nucleotides) under Sus scrofa (pig). Its description in RNAcentral is "lncRNA (ENSSSCG00040064298.1)". The record is from RNAcentral. Lineage: Eukaryota; Metazoa; Chordata; Mammalia; Artiodactyla; Suidae.
CAUGGAAGCUGGGUUCCCAAAAAACUAUCCAUCCAAGAGUUAGCAGGUCAGAAACUGUAGUAUCUUUGAGAACGCAGUCUCAGAAGUGGUUCUGCAUCACUCUAUUUCAUCCACAAUAUCCUAUUUGUUACUAAGUUAAGCCCUAUUCAGUGUCAGGAGGUGGAGACUACUAGGCCAGCAAUCACCUGCCAGGAUGGGAGGACCUCUGGGGGCCACCUUGGAAGCCAGUCCCCAUCAUGGAACUGUCCAUUGACAGAAUAGGCUGUGUCAUGAGACAAUAAGUGCCUGGAGGUACACAAACAAACCUGGCCCCAAACUGAGUAAAUGAGGAAAGGGGGUGGGCAGUUUUCUAGAGCACAUUGUGAAUAGUCUAGACAAGCUUCCUCCUUUCAGAACUCAUUGUUCUCUAAGGAGUAUGUAAACUGACUUGAAAAAAAGAAAAGAGAGAGGGAAAUUAAGUGAGUUGAAAACACCAAAAUAGCUCUCAUUUUUUAGAGUGAAACUAUUUGAUAAAUUAUUUGAGGGUUACAUUUAUGAAGCGGGCAUGGAGGUGAGGGCAAACCAGAGCAAUCCCCCAAGAUGAGAUGAUUGGCAGUAUACCCUGGAGAAGGGAGCAAGAAUUUAAACACUGAGAAUUGUUUAAUUAGCCUAACUUCAUUCAAGACCUCUCAGCCUCAUUUUCAUUGUUUGUCUUACAUACAUAACAUCCUUCGGUAUCAGCCCAUCUUUUUGCAGCAUCAAGCCCCAAGACUCUGAAACAGUGUUUUAGAUAACCUACUAGGCAUUUCAUUCUCUAAAGAAACCAAUUAUAUAUGAAAUUAAUAAUUAAAAAUUAUAAAUAGAAAGAACAAGAAAACAUGCAUACUCCAUGUCCUGCGGGUAGAUUUUUGCAUGGUGUGUAGGGAAUUAGGUGCAAAAAAAUCCAUUUAUGUUAAUGGGCAUUGCAUGUCUAAUUUCUCAUGCACCACACUGCCGACUUCCCCCUGUGUCUUUGUCAGUACAUGGGACUGAUGGAGGGGGAAAGAAAAGUGAAUGAUUUAUUUGAUGGUCUGUCAAUCAUAACAGCAACCAGAGAAAUUCCAAAACUGUUUUUAACCUCUAUAGAAACAGUUAGUUAGACCAUAUGCUUUUUUCUUCUUGCCAGAUGCUGUCAUUCAUCAAUUUCCUAUUAAGAAAAUGGGAUUCUGCAAAACCACUGAGGGUCUUUCUCAUUUGUAAUAGAUAUGCCACAAAAUCAGAUUGCAAACGUAUUCUGCAGCUUGUGCAAAAUAACUUCUGACACUUGCUAAUCUCCAUAUUAAUUCUGACUGACCUUUGAUGGUGUUUCUUAUGUGUGGUCAGAACAUCAUCCAAAAAUAUUAUUUUAAAAUUACUUUUACCCUGAGUUUAAGCCUAGAGGUUAAAUAGAUUUGUUUGUGAUUAUCCAGUCUAUAAAAAAGAAAUUAAAUGGACAUUUAAAAAUACCAGUUCCCUCCUAAAAUACUCUUUAGAUAGUAAAGAGAGAUAAUAAAAUGUCUGAGAAUUAAAGUAAGCAACAUGAGCCAAGCAUUGAUCACUCGAAGACAUCAAAGAAACUGAAAAAAAAUUUUUUUAAUUAUAUUGACCCCUCUCACCCCACCAAGUACAAAGAUCAUUUUGUUGAGAGCAGAUGGCUGCUAAUUACUAUAAGCUCCUGAGUGGAUUUGUUUGUUUGCUUGUUUGUUUAUAAUCAUGGAUAAAGACACCUAGAAAACCUAAGGACUCCUUUUCUUAGGGACAAUAAAAUCCAUCCUCUCCUCAGCAGCAGUACAUCGUCAGGCUUCAGGACAUGGCUAUAACAACAAUUGCAUUUUGGGUUUUAAAUUUGAAUGUUCUAGGUAGUUGGAAUAUAUUGACACUUGCCAUCAUUUCUAACACAGAUUUUCUUGAGGUAUUCUUAUGAUAACACUGGUGGCUUCAAAUGUUUGCUUGUCAUGCCGAACUCACUGAGCAAACCAGCGAACAUGGAAGUUUAAGGGAAAAGAAUACCACUGCACAACUUUCAAUCUGCAGCAUUUUGCAUUUCUUAUUAAUAGGAACUGACUCUUUGACAAACCCUGCAAAUGCUUUAUAGGAGUGAGGAAUGCUCUGAAAUUCAAGGCAAAUUUCGUUCAAUAGUUAAGCACUGAUCAAAAUUCUGAAUUUUCUCUGGCUGUCAGCCAGCAAGCAGGGGCUGCUUAUUGUUUAAGAUUUUAGUAGAAAGCCACUCAGAGGGGAGGGGAAAAAAAAAAAAAAUCUAUGACUUUACAGCUGUCAGACUUUGUUGUAUCUACUCCAGCCUAAUAUUCUCAAGUCUAAUUUUUUUUUUAAGCUUUGUCUUUUUAUUCAUAGACCCAGUAGAGAGUGCAUAUAGCCAUAAACGUGUGCCUCCAUCACACGGCAUUGCUAUUGACCCCUGCCCUGAGCUGAAGAUUGUACCUUCUCAGGGGAUAACAAAUGAUUCACUUUGCAGGUAGGCAGAGGCCUGGAGCUCCCUUCUCCAGACACUGCCAAUUUUCCUGAAUGAUCUCUUGUGAUUGGUUUUCUCAUAUGAAUGGACUCUCUGAGUACACCACCACCAAACUCUGUUUAUUUAGGAAUAUGUCUUUGACAAGAACAGCUGUCCUGGGGUUGAAAUGAUUAGUACUUUAUCUGCUAAUGCAGGUUCCCAUUUGGCUGUGGGCUAAAAACACAUUUCCAUCCUGGGAAAACAUUGCUGCCAUUUCUUGGCCCCCAAACAAGUUUUUGGUGUUUGAUCAAGCUGAGCCACUAAAAAAAAAUGACAAUAAUCUUAUGUAAGGUCACUGGCUUGACCUCUAACGGCCGACUAAGGUUCCAGUUCUGUAAGGUGAACCAGAAAAACGAGCAAGCUCUGUGCAUAGAAAUAGUAGCCAAGUUUCCUCUAUUAAUCCAGCCUCACUUGGGAGCAUGGUUAAAAUAAGGAUACAGGUGAGCACAAAAGAGAUAGGAUCCUGAGUCUGACCUUGACUUAGAGAGAAAAUUCUUUAACAGGUCCAUAGUGGGUGGGAGAAAUGGAGCUAGAGGCCCUCAGCCAGAAAAUUAUUUAACCUGGAGCUAACAUUCUUUCAAACUUCCUGUUUAGGAGUGUUAAGGUAUUUCCAAGCACAGUUGUACAAACACAUAUCCAUUGUGAGAUACAAAUAUGUGUAGUCUGUUGAAUAAAAUAUUAAAAAGUAACCACUACUUUUUGAAAUAUUGGUCUGUCAUUUUUUAGUGUUUUGAUUAUUUGGGCAUCUUAAUGCUUUUCAAUAGCAUCUGCCGAAGCCCACUGAAAAACUUUAAGAUUGGUUUAAAGCACUGUUAAACUAACCCGCAAAGAGCAGAGCCCAUAACAAAUUAGUAAAUUGUCACAAACUAGGUGGCAAGACAGCAAAAAUAUAUUUUCUCAAAGUCCUGAAGAUGAACCACUUCAAAUCAAAUUAUCAGCAGGGCCAUAUUCUCUGAAGGCUCCAGGAAGACUCUUUCCUUGCCUUUUCCUUUCUUCUGGUAGCUCCCAGCAGUCCUCAUUAUUCCCUGUCACAUCUUCUUUGAGGCUCUGUCUCUGUUUCCGUGUGUCUCUCUGUGUAACAUCUGCUUUCUUAUACAUCCGUCAUUGGAUUUAGGGUCCACCCUAGUCCUAUAUGACCUCAUCUUAAAUACAUCUGCCAAGAUCCUAGUCUUAAAUAAGGUCAUAUUCCCAGGUAGACCUGAAUUUUGGGAAAACACAUCAGCCCAAAUCUCUUUCUCCAUGUGACCUACUGGGAUAACUAGGAAAAUAGCAGGAACAGUGGCCUACCUUUUUCUUUGAAAGGUAUUUGAUGACCUGACAGUUGUAGUAAAGACCACAGCAAAGGCCUGUAGAAUAAACAAUGUGAAAAUAAGACAGAGGCACAGAGACAAGGAAAUUUCUUCAUGCCUUCCUCAUAGAGCCCAUGUAUUUUCCCAACCAAAGUCUUAGCUGUACUUCACACUUGCCCCCUCAGCAGAGAAACUGGUCUCCCCAUGGCCCAAGGCACAGGAACAUGUGUCACAUGGGGACUGGAAGCCACUGUAAAUGUGGCACCUCUUCUUAAUGCAUCAGUUGUAUUCAAUUAUUUAGUUAUUAAAAACAGGUUUAGGUUGAAAUAAA